GAUGAACGCUGGCGGCGGGCCUAAUACAUGCAAGUCGAGCGAACAGACGAGGAGCUUGCUCCGCUGACGGUAGCGGGGGACGGGUGAGUAACACGUGGAUAACCUAGCUAUAAGACUGGGAGAACUACGGGAAACCGGAGCUAAGACCGGAUAAUAUAUUGAGGCGCAAGGAUCAAGAGUGAAAGAAGGUUGUGCGGGGACUUAUAGAUGGACACGCGCCGCAUUAGCAAGUUGGUAAGGUAACGGCUUAGCAAGGCUACGAUGCGUAGCCGACCUGAGAGGGUGAUCGGCCACCCUGGAACUGAGACACGGUCCCGACUCCUACGGGAGGCAGCAGUAGGGACUCUUCCGCAAUGGGUGAAAGCCUGACGGUGCAACGCCGCGUGAGUCCUGAAGGUCUUCGGCUCGUAAAACUCUGUUAUUCGGGAAGAACAAAUGUGUAAGUAACUAUGCACGUAUUGACGGUACCUACUCAGAAAGCCACGGCUAACUCCGUG
Molecule: ribosomal RNA, 497 nt
Filed under: uncultured bacterium
Lineage: Bacteria
Description: partial 16S ribosomal RNA
Rfam family: Bacterial small subunit ribosomal RNA
Source: RNAcentral